RNAcentral lists this ribosomal RNA (383 nucleotides) under uncultured bacterium. RNAcentral's name for it is "bacterial SSU rRNA". It matches the Rfam family "Bacterial small subunit ribosomal RNA", at positions 376 to 774 of the family's 1533-position model. The record is from RNAcentral.
CGAAAGCCUGACGGAGCAACGCCGCGUGAGGGAUGAAGGCCUCUGGGCUGUAAACCUCUUUUAUCAAGGAAGAAGAUCUGACGGUACUUGAUGAAUAAGCCACGGCUAAUUCCGUGCCAGCAGCCGCGGUAAUACGGGAGUGGCAAGCGUUAUCCGGAAUUAUUGGGCGUAAAGCGUCCGCAGGCGGUCUUGUAAGUCUGUCGUUAAAACGUGGAGCUUAACUCCAUUUCGGCGGUGGAAACUACAAGACUAGAGUGUGGUAGGGGCAGAGGGAAUUCCCGGUGUAGCGGUGAAAUGCGUAGAUAUCGGGAAGAACACCAGUGGCGAAAGCGCUCUGCUGGGCCAUAACUGACGCUCAUGGACGAAAGCCAGGGGAGCGAAAG